This 253-nucleotide ribosomal RNA is filed under the name uncultured bacterium. RNAcentral describes it as "partial 16S ribosomal RNA". It matches the Rfam family "Bacterial small subunit ribosomal RNA", at positions 524 to 776 of the family's 1533-position model. The record is from RNAcentral.
UACGGGGGGGGCAAGCGUUGUUCGGAAUUACUGGGCGUAAAGGGCGCGUAGGCGGUUGGAUAAGUCAGCUGUGAAAACCACGGGCUUAACUCGUGGCCUGCAGUUGAGACUGUCUGGCUUGAGUGUGGGAGAGGAGAGUGGAAUUCCUGGUGUAGCGGUGAAAUGCGUAGAUAUCAGGAGGAACACCGGUGGCGAAGGCGGCUGCCUGGCCUGUUCUUGACGCUGAGGCGCGAAAGCUGGGGGAGCAAACGGG